CUCAUAUAUGUGAGAUGGUGCUAGGUUUUCCUCUCAUUUGUUUUCUGUGUUUUUUCUCUGAAAAAACUUUUGAUUUUUCGUCUGUAAUCUUUGGUUUUUAGAUCUUCUUGGUGAAGUCUAAUGUAGAUUACUUUGUGAAAAGGGUGAUUCUGUUCUUGAGUGAGCAAAUAACCUUUUGUUACUUGAUGUAAUCUGUUGAGUAUAUUCUUGAAAGAAAAACUGAGUCUGAGGGCUAGAUCCUUUGGAUCUUUGAAUUUUGAUUCUUGUCCUUAUAAUUUUUUGCUGGUUUUUAGUGGAUUAGAGCGAAAACCGCUUUAGUGAAUGCUUAGUGUGGUGAUACAUCCGGGCCUUAGGGUAAAAAGCUCUUGGUGUUCUUUAAUUUUCUGUCAUUAAUUUGGUUUUUUCUAAGACUGUUAAUACCAAUUACCAACAAAACUAUGAGGCAGCAAAUGCUCAGUAAUUGUGCAGUUAAGUAUUAAGAAAGAACGAAGACGAGAACAAGCCGCUACACAGUUUGUUCUUGCUGCCAAUUUUGCUGCUUUAAUAAAAGGAUCUUCAAGUAUUAGAGUUUGAAGAUGGGAAUAAUAUCUUCAACAAAACAAAGUAUGCAAUAAUAACUUCGUCGAAAGUUUUGGAGGAGACUUGACAAUAUGAUCAAUGAAACUCUAGAUCAUUCCGGGUUUCAAGAGAUAAUUGGUGGUCAGCUCGCCACAGAAACAUUGAAGGUCUUGCUGAGAUGACCAGGUUGGCACAGAAUGAGUUCUAACAGCUAGAAAAUGGUUAUGAAGAUGCAUCAGAAAAUUGGAAUAAUGUUGAAUUAGGGUGUCCCCGGGGGCAUAACCCAAUAGUGCAAAGAACAGGAGUGAGGUAGUCUCAGUCUUGCUGGCAAUUGUAGUGUGAGGGUUCGAUUAUUGAGAUAUGAAAUUGUACUCUCUUUGUGAGCACCAAUGUACGAGCAAGUUAUUGUUCCCUGGCCUGCUGGGGUAUAUCCCACGAUUUACCUCCCUCACGAUACUCCAGGGGCGGGGCGGUGGGGGCCUUCAAAGUUGGAGUUCAACCUUUUUUUUCUUUUUUUUUAAAUGUUGAAUUAUGGCAGUACAUCAGCUGUAUUGAAAAUUUUCGCUGUGAAAAAGUUUAUCUAAUAUGUACUCGAGUUUGUCAGAA
This is a long non-coding RNA of Olea europaea var. sylvestris, 1164 nucleotides long. RefSeq lists it as uncharacterized. The transcript is spliced from 2 exons. The record is from RefSeq and is a predicted model, not a curated record. NCBI's taxonomy places the organism in Eukaryota, Viridiplantae, Streptophyta, Magnoliopsida, Lamiales, Oleaceae.